This 424-nucleotide ribosomal RNA is filed under the name Osteocephalus taurinus (Manaus slender-legged treefrog). Its description in RNAcentral is "partial large subunit ribosomal RNA". It matches the Rfam family "Bacterial large subunit ribosomal RNA", at positions 1834 to 2439 of the family's 2925-position model. The record is from RNAcentral. Lineage: Eukaryota; Metazoa; Chordata; Amphibia; Anura; Hylidae.
CUUGAAUAACUAUAAGAGGUCCAGCCUGCCCAGUGACUUUGUUCAACGGCCGCGGUAUCCUAACCGUGCGAAGGUAGCGUAAUCACUUGUCUUUUAAAUGGGGACUUGUAUGAAUGGCAUCACGAGGGUUAUACUGUCUCCUUUUUCUAAUCAGUGAAACUAAUCUUCCCGUGAAGAAGCGGGAAUAAACAUAUAAGACGAGAAGACCCUAUGGAGCUUUAAACUCAAUAACAAAUACUAGCCUUACCUCAACCUUCAGAGUAUUAACCUUAAUUUUAGUAUUAUGAUUAUUAGUUUUAGGUUGGGGUGACCGCGGAGUAAAAAUUAACCUCCACAUUGAACGGGACCUGUCCCUGAGCCAAGAACUACAGCUCAAAGCACCAACAAAUUGACAUUAAUUGACCCAAUAUUUUGAUCAACGAAC